Molecule: ribosomal RNA, 253 nt
Filed under: uncultured bacterium
Lineage: Bacteria
Description: partial 16S ribosomal RNA
Rfam family: Bacterial small subunit ribosomal RNA
Source: RNAcentral
UACGUAGGGUGCGAGCGUUAAUCGGAAUUACUGGGCGUAAAGCGUGCGUAGGCGGUUCCUCAAGUCCGUUGUGAAAGCCCCGGGCUCAACCUGGGAAUGGCAGUGGAAACUAGGGGACUGGAAUCUGGCAGAGGGGGGUGGAAUGCCGCGUGUAGCAGUGAAAUGCGUAGAGAUGCGGCGGAACACCGAUGGCGAAGGCAGCCUCCUGGGCCAGCACUGACGCUCAUGCACGAAAGCGUGGGGAGCAAACAGG